Molecule: ribosomal RNA, 494 nt
Filed under: uncultured bacterium
Lineage: Bacteria
Description: partial 16S ribosomal RNA
Rfam family: Bacterial small subunit ribosomal RNA
Source: RNAcentral
GACGAACGCUGGCGGCGUGCCUAAUACAUGCAAGUCGAACGCUGAAGGAGGAGCUUGCUUCUCUGGAUGAGUUGCGAACGGGUGAGUAACGCGUAGGUAACCUACCUGGUAGCGGGGGAUAACUAUUGGAAACGAUAGCUAAUACCGCAUAAGAGUAGAUGUCGCAUGACAUUUGCUUAAAAGGUGCAAUUGCAUCACUACCAGAUGGACCUGCGUUGUAUUAGCUAGUUGGUGAGGUAACGGCUCACCAAGGCAACGAUACAUAGCCGACCUGAGAGGGUGAUCGGCCACACUGGGACUGAGACACGGCCCAGACUCCUACGGGAGGCAGCAGUAGGGAAUCUUCGGCAAUGGACGGAAGUCUGACCGAGCAACGCCGCGUGAGUGAAGAAGGUUUUCGGAUCGUAAAGCUCUGUUGUAAGAGAAGAACGAGUGUGAGAGUGGAAAGUUCACACUGUGACGGUAUCUUACCAGAAAGGGACGGCUAACUACGU